RNAcentral lists this unclassified non-coding RNA (525 nucleotides) under Hevea brasiliensis (rubber tree). Lineage: Eukaryota; Viridiplantae; Streptophyta; Magnoliopsida; Malpighiales; Euphorbiaceae. The record is from RNAcentral.
GCAGAAGUCAUAAUGAAGAGCCUUUUAAGUGUUGUUUCGGAUCCGAGCCCUUUGGUACGAGCUGAGGUUGCUGUUGCCUUGGCUCGUUUUGCCUUUGGGCAUAAGGUGCACCUGAAGUCGCUUGCAGCUGCAUAUUUGAAGAAUCAAUCUAAUUCCAUGCCGACUUCCUUGCCUUCUUCUACGGUCCAGAGUUCAGGUGACAGUCCGUCUAUCUCUCACGAUGGUAGGGUCUCGACUAGCAGCCCUGUUGCAACACCGGGCUUCAUGCAUGGAUCUCCUUUGCCUGAUGGUUCUUCUCAUCAUUCUGAUUCUGGAAGACUGGGUGAUGCUGUUAGCGAUGGUGUUGUUAAUCAUAUAAGACCCAGACCACUUGAAAAUUCACUCUAUACUAAGUCUGUGCAGGCCAUGUUUGCCCUGGCAAAGGAUCCAUCACCUCGCGUUGCAGGUCUUGGAUGUAGACUGCUUUCAAUUAUUGGGAUUGACCAAGUGUUCACCAAGUCAGUCGAGUCUACUGUUGAAUCCACA